RNAcentral lists this ribosomal RNA (371 nucleotides) under uncultured bacterium. RNAcentral's name for it is "bacterial SSU rRNA". It matches the Rfam family "Bacterial small subunit ribosomal RNA", at positions 525 to 896 of the family's 1533-position model. The record is from RNAcentral.
ACGAAGGGGGCUAGCGUUGCUCGGAAUUACUGGGCGUAAAGGGAGCGUAGGCGGGUCGACAAGUUGGAGGUGAAAGCCCAGGGCUCAACCUUGGAAUUGCCUUCAAAACUGUCGAUCUUGAGUAUGGGAGAGGUAAGCGGAACUCCGAGUGUAGAGGUGAAAUUCGUAGAUAUUCGGAAGAACACCAGUGGCGAAGGCGGCUUACUGGCCCAUUACUGACGCUGAGGCUCGAAAGCGUGGGGAGCAAACAGGAUUAGAUACCCUGGUAGUCCACGCUGUAAACGAUGAUUGCUAGUUGUCAGCAAGUAUACUUGUUGGUGACGCAGCUAACGCAUUAAGCAAUCCGCCUGGGGAGUACGGUCGCAAGAUUA